RNAcentral lists this ribosomal RNA (341 nucleotides) under uncultured Sediminibacterium sp. Its description in RNAcentral is "bacterial SSU rRNA". It matches the Rfam family "Bacterial small subunit ribosomal RNA", at positions 408 to 746 of the family's 1533-position model. The record is from RNAcentral. Lineage: Bacteria; Pseudomonadati; Bacteroidota; Chitinophagia; Chitinophagales; Chitinophagaceae.
AUUAAGGUCCUCUGGAUUGUAAACUUCUUUUAUAUGGGACGAAAAAAGGUCUUUCUAGAUCACUUGACGGUACCAUAUGAAUAAGCACCGGCUAACUCCGUGCCAGCAGCCGCGGUAAUACGGAGGGUGCAAGCGUUAUCCGGAUUCACUGGGUUUAAAGGGUGCGUAGGCGGGCAGGUAAGUCAGUGGUGAAAUCCUGGAGCUCAACUCCAGAACUGCCAUUGAUACUAUCUGUCUUGAAUAUUGUGGAGGUAAGCGGAAUAUGUCAUGUAGCGGUGAAAUGCUUAGAUAUGACAUAGAACACCUAUUGCGAAGGCAGCUUACUACGCAUAUAUUGACGC